This 385-nucleotide ribosomal RNA is filed under the name uncultured bacterium. RNAcentral's name for it is "bacterial SSU rRNA". It matches the Rfam family "Bacterial small subunit ribosomal RNA", at positions 28 to 402 of the family's 1533-position model. The record is from RNAcentral.
AGCGAACGCUGGCGGCGUGCUUAACACAUGCAAGUCGAGUGCGUAGCCCUUUGUAGCAAUACAGAGGGUGGGCGCACGGCGCACGGGUGAGUAACACGUGGGUAACCUGCCCUUCGGUGGGGAAUAACCCCGCGAAAGCGGGGCGUAAUUCCGCAUAACAUUCCGGGGACGACAUGUUCUCGGACUCAAAGGAGUGAUUCGCCGGAGGAGGGGCCCGCGCCCGAUUAGCUUGUUGGUAGGGUAACGGCCACCAAGGCUUUGAUCGGUAGCCGGUCUGAGAGGGUGGCCGGCCACACUGGAACUGAGACACGGUCCAGACUCCUACGGGAGGCAGCAGUGGGGAAUCUUGCGCAAUGGGCGAAAGCCUGACGCAGCGACGCCGCGU